UGACUGAGUGGCGGACGGGUGAGUAACGCGUGGGUAACCUGCCCUGUACAGGGGGAUAACAGUUGGAAACGGCUGCCAAUACCGCAUAAGCGCACGAGAGGACAUCCUCUUGUGUGAAAAACUCCGGUGGUACAGGAUGGGCCCGCGUCUGAUUAGCUGGUUGGCAGGGUAACGGCCUACCAAGGCGACGAUCAGUAGCCGGUCUGAGAGGAUGAACGGCCACAUUGGAACUGAGACACGGUCCAAACUCCUACGGGAGGCAGCAGUGGGGAAUAUUGCACAAUGGGGGAAACCCUGAUGCAGCAACGCCGCGUGAGUGAAGAAGUAUUUCGGUAUGUAAAGCUCUAUCAGCAGGGAAGAUAAUGACGGUACCUGACUAAGAAGCUCCGGCUAAAUACGUGCCAGCAGCCGCGGUAAUACGUAUGGAGCAAGCGUUAUCCGGAUUCACUGGGUGUAAAGGGUGCGUAGGUGGCAGUGCAAGUCAGAUGUGAAAGGCCGGGGCUCAACCCCGGAGCUGCAUUUGAAACUGCUCGGCUAGAGUACAGGAGAGGCAGGCGGAAUUCCUAGUGUAGCGGUGAAAUGCGUAGAUAUUAGGAGGAACACCAGUGGCGAAGGCGGCCUGCUGGACUGUUACUGACACUGAGGCACGAAAGCGUGGGGAGCAAACAGGAUUAGAUACCCUGGUAGUCCACGCCGUAAA
Molecule: ribosomal RNA, 700 nt
Filed under: uncultured bacterium
Lineage: Bacteria
Also listed under: 1 other name
Description: bacterial SSU rRNA
Rfam family: Bacterial small subunit ribosomal RNA
Source: RNAcentral